UGUUCUUUCUGACAGUUUGUGAUGGAGGAUGUAAACCGUAUCUGUAACUCGCCCCUUUUCAUGGGGACCCAGUGGGCUCCAUUCUCAGAGUAAAAUGUGACCCAUACCUUCCCCCAUACAUGAAGGCGUACAAUGCAGUGGUCUUCCAUGGAUUGUGCUAUGAAGGUGGCUGCACCAUUCUGCAUUCCCACCAGGACUGAUGAGAGUUCCUGUUGCUCCACAUCCUCGCCAGCAUUUGGUGUUGUCAGCAUUCUGGAUUUCCACCAAUCUGACAGGUAUGAAGAGUUACACCAGGGGUAAAUAACAACCCAACCCAGACCAUGCCAAGUGCUGAAAGGCCAAAGAGGUGGCCACAAUUCCAGAAUAAAGCCAGCACUCAGCUGUACGGCUGGCCCCUGAGGAGCUGAGCUGGCCCCUAGCUGGUCGCCAGGUAGGGCCAGAACCAUGCCCCACCCCUGUGUCCUUAGGACCACUCAGAGAACUAUCCCUCAGGGCCUGCACACUGAUGGCCCAGGAGCCUCUGAGAGAUGCCCCAAGAGAAAGAGGCCAGCCUCUCUCCAGCUCUGCCUCCACGUCCAGAGCUGAGCCAGCCCUCCAGUCUGUGGCCUCCCAGCCCCGGACUCUAGCUCUCCAGGGUCCCAGCCCACUCAAAGAAGGCCCAGCUUCACUGAGUGCCCAGGAAUGCACAGCGCUGCCUCCUCAAGCCCCAGCGUGAUGAGAUAUUCUCCAGCAAAUAGGAUUCCUCUGCUGGGGAGUGAGGCCAGCACACGUCAGGUUCCCACACUAUCCCCACCCAAGAAG
Aethalodelphis obliquidens (Pacific white-sided dolphin) is the source of this 801-nucleotide long non-coding RNA. RefSeq lists it as uncharacterized. The transcript is spliced from 3 exons. NCBI's taxonomy places the organism in Eukaryota, Metazoa, Chordata, Mammalia, Artiodactyla, Delphinidae. The record is from RefSeq and is a predicted model, not a curated record.